AUUGAACGCUGGCGGCAGGCCUAACACAUGCAAGUCGAACGGUAACAGGAAGAAGCUUGCUUCUUUGCUGACGAGUGGCGGACGGGUGAGUAAUGUCUGGGAAACUGCCUGAUGGAGGGGGAUAACUACUGGAAACGGUAGCUAAUACCGCAUAACGUCGCAAGACCAAAGAGGGGGACCUUCGGGCCUCUUGCCAUCGGAUGUGCCCAGAUGGGAUUAGCUAGUAGGUGGGGUAACGGCUCACCUAGGCAACGAUCCCUAGCUGGUCUGAGAGGAUGACCAGCCACACUGGAACUGAGACACGGUCCAGACUCCUACGGGAGGCAGCAGUGGGGAAUAUUGCACAAUGGGCGCAAGCCUGAUGCAGCCAUGCCGCGUGUAUGAAGAAGGCCUUCGGGUUGUAAAGUACUUUCAGCGGGGAGGAAGGGAGUAAAGUUAAUACCUUUGCUCAUUGACGUUACCCGCAGAAGAAGCACCGGCUAACUCCGU
Molecule: ribosomal RNA, 489 nt
Filed under: uncultured bacterium
Lineage: Bacteria
Description: partial 16S ribosomal RNA
Rfam family: Bacterial small subunit ribosomal RNA
Source: RNAcentral